UACGUAGGUGGCAAGCGUUGUCCGGAUUUAUUGGGCGUACAGGGCGCGCAGGCGGUUCGUUAGGUUCGAGGUGAAAUCUCUUGGCUCAACUGGGAGAGGUCUUCGGAUACCGGCGGACUUGAGGAGAGCAGAGGUGAGUGGAAUUCUGGGUGUGGUGGUGAAAUGCGUAGAUAUCCAGAGGAACACCAGUGGCGAAGGCGACUCACUGGGCUCCACCUGACGCUGAGGCGCGAAAGCGUGGGGAGCGAACCGG
This 253-nucleotide ribosomal RNA is filed under the name uncultured bacterium. Its description in RNAcentral is "partial 16S ribosomal RNA". It matches the Rfam family "Bacterial small subunit ribosomal RNA", at positions 524 to 776 of the family's 1533-position model. The record is from RNAcentral.